AUCGGAAUUAAUAUAUGAAUACACUUCUUAUAUGACUAUUGUUAUUGGAAGAAAUUCAGAAUUUUGAUCUAUAACAAAUGCCCCACGAUAAUCAAUUUUGGGUGUUAAAUCUCUUGUACUCCUUGAGACAAGACGAUAUUCUUUUCUUUUUAUUGUUUUAAAUGGAAUUCCAUAAAAUUCUUCUAAAGAAGGAACCGCAUUCCAAAAGCCAACGGUUGGACUACAGAUUUAAAAUCUAACGUUUUUUUCAGCUGCAGACGCAAAAAACAUCCUUUCAGUAGAGUCAAAGACAGACAUUUGAGUGCAAGUGUGUUCAUAAGCAACUCCAACUUAAGUAUGAACCACUUAAAAUACAUGUACUUCCCUAUUCGUGUGGUGAUAGUAGAUUCCGGCAAUUAGAAUUGCAUGUACUUGUAUUAAGUUUGCAAAAUGCACAACCACUUUAUAGAAAUAAAAAAAAAAAAAAACUAACUUCGCAAUAAAUAUAUUUUGACGCCAACUGCAGUUUUUAAGACUUUACAGGAUUGUUUUAUCUCAAAACUCUAAGUAUCAGGUAACACUUACCUUGCAAUAUCACAAAACAGUUGAGUAACAGGCAAACUAUACAUGUCCUUUACAAUACUAAAAUAUCAAUUAGUACAAAUCAACCGGAUUUAGUUAAAAGAUGUCAUGAACAGUAUAAGAAAAACAUGACCUUGUGCAAUGCCAAAAUAUAAGUAUCGACAGGCUGUUGAAUAACCGUUCAUAACUGUGUAGUUAUGAAACAAAAUCAAUGUUAGUAUACCGAUUGAGACAAUAUCCAAAGAUCUUACUACAUUGUUAAAAGAUAACCCAUUGAGAAUGAGUUAUUUCAUGGGAUCCAUCAAUAAGUUUUCAUGGGAUCCAUGUUACAUGAAUUUACAUGGAUCGUAUCUAAGUUUACGGGUUUGAUAAACAACAUCGCCGCAAAAACUAAGCUAAAUUGAGAGAUACCGUUUGCAUUUAGGUAUAUCAAGGGACAACCAAACUAGUACUUAUAAACCAAAUGUUUCAUCGAUGCAAAAAGUGUUCAAAGUUUUAAUUAAUUUGUAGUAAAGAUUUUUUGUCGAUGGUUGUCAAUAUUUUUUCCAGAGCCACCAGGACGAGAUAAGCGAUUCAAUCGAUCAACUUUAUCUGUCAAUGUUGGCUUCUCUCAAAUACAAGGUUUUUUUUUAUUGUUAAUGGUAUUGUUUCAUCAGGAAGUUAAAUAUAUCUAAAUAUAUCUUAUCACAUUUCCUUAACAUCCUGCAUAUUUUGACACUGUUACUAAGUUUACUUGAAAAACCAUAACAAGACCAAAAACUGUAACAAGCAAAAAAAAGAAAAAAGAAAAAGGUAACAACCAAGAAGUCUGAAAAUCCAUUCAUCAUCAAUUGCUCUUACAGGUUAAUAUUGCAUACUUUUUAUUCGUGUGCAUUAAGAGGAAUGGUUACCUCGAUUUAGUUGCUUUAACUUGAAUUACCAUUCCUGGCUCCUCCGGAUGUUUAUGGCUGACUACGAUCAUUUAUUUGUUUGUAAACAACUACUCUUAUGAAUGCA
Molecule: long non-coding RNA, 1557 nt
Filed under: Mytilus galloprovincialis (Mediterranean mussel)
Lineage: Eukaryota; Metazoa; Mollusca; Bivalvia; Mytilida; Mytilidae
Source: RNAcentral